This 225-nucleotide ribosomal RNA is filed under the name uncultured Desulfocapsa sp. RNAcentral's name for it is "partial 16S ribosomal RNA". It matches the Rfam family "Bacterial small subunit ribosomal RNA", at positions 1158 to 1382 of the family's 1533-position model. The record is from RNAcentral. Lineage: Bacteria; Pseudomonadati; Thermodesulfobacteriota; Desulfobulbia; Desulfobulbales; Desulfocapsaceae.
UCAAACCGGAGGAAGGUGGGGAUGACGUCAAGUCCUCAUGGCCUUAUGACCAGGGCUACACACGUACUACAAUGGCCGGUACAAAGGGCAGCCACUUAGCGAUAAGGAGCCAAUCCCGUAAAGACCGGUCUCAGUCCGGAUUGGAGUCUGCAACUCGACUCCAUGAAGUUGGAAUCGCUAGUAAUCGCAGAUCAGCACGCUGCGGUGAAUACGUUCCCGGGCCUU